AGAGUUUGAUCAUGGCUCAGGAUGAACGCUGGCGGCGUGCCUAACACAUGCAAGUCGAACGGGGUAUUGUUUUUCGGAAUGAUACUUAGUGGCGGACGGGUGAGUAACGCGUGGGUAACCUGCCCCAUACAGGGGGAUAGCAGCUGGAAACGGCUGAUAAAACCGCAUAAGCGCACGGUACCGCAUGGUACAGUGUGAAAAACUCCGGUGGUAUGGGAUGGAUCCGCGUCUGAUUAGCUUGUUGGCGGGGUAACGGCCCACCAAGGCGACGAUCAGUAGCCGGCCUGAGAGGGUGACCGGCCACAUUGGGACUGAGACACGGCCCAAACUCCUACGGGAGGCAGCAGUGGGGAAUAUUGCACAAUGGGGGGAACCCUGAUGCAGCGACGCCGCGUGAAGGAAGAAGUAUUUCGGUAUGUAAACUUCUAUCAGCAGGGAAGAGAAUGACGGUACCUGCAUAAGAAGCCCCGGCUAACUACGUGUCAGCAGCCGCGGUAAUACGUAGGGGGCAAGCGUUAUCCGGAUUUACUGGGUGUAAAGGGAGCGUUGCGGCUAGGUAAGUAAGAAGUGAAAGCCCGGGGCUCAACCGCGGUACUGCUUUUGAAACUGCCAGGCUUGAUUGCACGACAUUAAGCGUAAUUCCUGGUGGAGCGGA
This 655-nucleotide ribosomal RNA is filed under the name uncultured bacterium. RNAcentral describes it as "bacterial SSU rRNA". It matches the Rfam family "Bacterial small subunit ribosomal RNA", at positions 8 to 682 of the family's 1533-position model. The record is from RNAcentral.